AACAGCCGCCAGAGGCGCCGCGCCUCUCCUUCCUCCUCGCCGCCCCCUGCCGCGGCGCGCAUCCCUCGGAUCAUCGUGCCCAACUCCCCUUCGUGUUUCUCCUCCUCCCAGAACCACAUCCCGUCGCUUAGGCUCCUUGGUGGCGGCCGGCUCGAGGCGAGCCUGGCGCAGGCGGGGAGAAGCAGCGGGGCGGCGGAUGCGGGCGGGAGAGUGCCGGACGGCACCGUCAUUGUCGCCCCGCCAAGACGCAUCGAAGAAGGACCAGGAUCUCACCCUCGUCCCUUCUGGAUGCACCUCCCCAGUGAGUUCCUCCUGCCUAAUUCAGCUCCCUUUUCCAUCUAAUUUCAUUCUUGUUUCACAUGUUGGUUUGGUUGGCAAGAGACGUUGCGCCGCCGACUGCAGUAGCCAGGGUUGGCGUUGGUGAUGUCUGUAGUAUUUUCGUCCUCGCCAGUCACACAAUUCCUAGGUUAUGGGACUGGAUCUCCAUUUCCAAGAUUCUUAGCUGAUAAGUAUAUUGUGCGGAAAAAUCUCUACUGAAUGACAAAUCCAAGCAAUCUGGAUACUCCAUGGGACAAAGUUGAAGCUUUGUACAUCACUUCUCUACCUGUUUAUUAAUGUUUCUUCAUGUUUGGCAGUGAUCUGGGUUUCCAUGUACUUGAUAGAUGCAUUCCUUAUCUUUAUGUGUUCCAUCUAUGUAUAUAUGUUUCUGCCCAUAAAUGUAUUUAUGAGCUUGCUCCGUUUUUACUGCUUUCCUAUGUCAAUUUGAAAAGUACCCUUUAUUCCCCUAAAAAGGGCUAUACAUGCAUUUAAACGAGUGCACAUUUUCUAUAAACAUAAGCAUUGUCUUUACCCCACCGCUCUCUGGUGUGCAGCGACGAAGAUUUCAUGCUCAACCUCCCUCACGGCCCCAGGGAAGACUAUGAUAACACUAAGAUUAUCAAGAAAGGAUUCAGGGCUUUUUUUGAAUCCAGAUUAUCACACAUGAUGCAAAAUUAACAACCACGACUUUGAAAUAUGGAUGAUGAUGCUUAUUAUGUGCUAGAAAUCAAAUAUGUAAAGGAGAAGAUAAUGUUUGCGAAGGAGAGGGGAGAGAGAUACAGGUUGAUUCUGGGUAAACUUUGCUUAAUUUAUUGGAGAAAAUGCUCGAUAGAUCUCAUGGAUGGAUGAGGUUGUGGCAGUAGUUCUCGGGUGCAAUAUCUACCUUGAUAGAGUGAUCAACCAGGGCACAUUAGAAGCAGAAGAAGAGGAAACGUUUGGGCCGUCUAUGGCGUUGAAGAUUCAGUGUUUCUGUCUUGUGUACAUGCACGGCCAGUUCAGUAACUAGAUGGCCUUUUCUACUGUACUGGUGCUGCUACUUUUCACAUGCUAGCUUCUUUGGAAAGCGCCAACAGUGUGUACAACAUGUAAAGAGUCCAUCUUGAAGGAACAGAAGCAGAAGUAUGGAGCUGAUGUAUUAAUGGUCAAUCAAGGAAUUCAGUCUCGAGGAGCUUAACUAAUGAUGUGUGAGUUGAGCCUUAGCUCAUUUUCAAAGUAACGGAAGUACAAGAGAUUACUUGAAAAUACACAUUUUUUCAAUGCGACA
Long non-coding RNA from Triticum dicoccoides, 1582 nucleotides. RefSeq lists it as uncharacterized. NCBI's taxonomy places the organism in Eukaryota, Viridiplantae, Streptophyta, Magnoliopsida, Poales, Poaceae. The record is from RefSeq and is a predicted model, not a curated record. The transcript has 5 exons.